AGUGAACGCUGGCGGUAGGCCUAACACAUGCAAGUCGAACGGCAGCACAGUAAGAGCUUGCUCUUACGGGUGUCGAGUGGCGGACGGUUGACGUAUACAUCGGAAUCUACUUUUUCGUGGGUGAUAACGUAGGGAAACUUAUGCUAACACCGCAUACGUCCUACUUGUGAAAGCAGGGGUUCUUCUGACCUUUUGCGAGUGAAUGAGCCUAUCUCGGAUUAGCUUGUUGGCGGGGCCAAGGCCCACAUAGGCGACGAUCCGUAGCUGGUCUGAGAGGAUCAACCGACAGCUUGUAAGUGAGACACGGCCGACACUCCUACGGGAGGACGCAGUCGGGACUAUUGGACGAUGGAGGAAAGGGUGAUACAGGAAUACGGCGUGAGUGAAGAAGGAGCUAGGGUUGUAAAGUGCUUUUGUUGGGAAAGAAAAACAGCAGGUUAAUACCGGGCUGUAAUGACGGUACCGAAAGAAUAAGCACCGGCUAACUUCGUG
RNAcentral lists this ribosomal RNA (492 nucleotides) under uncultured bacterium. Its description in RNAcentral is "partial 16S ribosomal RNA". It matches the Rfam family "Bacterial small subunit ribosomal RNA", at positions 29 to 507 of the family's 1533-position model. The record is from RNAcentral.